Molecule: long non-coding RNA, 305 nt
Organism: Helianthus annuus (common sunflower)
Lineage: Eukaryota; Viridiplantae; Streptophyta; Magnoliopsida; Asterales; Asteraceae
Exons: 3
Source: RefSeq, a predicted model, not a curated record
AUACAGGAUCUCUCAAGGAGACUCCAACCAUAAUCCACAAGGAGAAGCUCAAAUCCAUGGAAUUGAAGCCCUCAAUUCGUGCAUGAAGCUGAAAUUUGUCAUCUAGGGUAUAAUAAACCAAGAGUUUGAUCUUGUCAAGCUAGGUGGAAGCUUGGAAGGAACGGGUCAAACAAGCUAACGGGUCAAGGAGUGUUUAAAAGAGGAAAAGGUGAAGGAAUAACUCAUGAAAUCGGAUGAAGAUCAAGUCCAGACGCGAACCGAACACAAGAAUUGUCCAUGAAGCUUCCGCAUGCUUUUAUUUGUAA